CCCGGCCAUCGAUCGGCAGUCGCGAGGUUCUUGUCGCCGAAGAGGGAGCGAGGGACGUUUCGAGGCGCUGGACCUUUAUUUUUGUUUUUCCAGGAUGUGUGGCGGAUUCACGUGCUCGAAAAACUCACUGCUGGCCCUUAACAUCUUGUAUGUUAUUGUGGCAUUCAUCCUAUUUGGGGUCGCGGCUGCUGCCAAUGCGGCCUCCAUUGUCACAUCACUGUCACUGGUUACUGGAAUUAUUGUCUGUGGUGUCUGCCUACUAAUCAUAUCCAUAGUGGGCCUCAUUGGAGCAAGUAAACAUCACCAGGUGUUGCUGUUCUUCUACAUGAUUGUUUUGUUCAUCAUCUUCAUCAUCCAGUUCUCUGUGGCCUGUGCAUCCCUUGCCAUUAACGAACAGCAGCAGCAGGCUUUCGCUAAGAAGGGUUGGGAAUACUCCAACAACAGCACUAAACACGAUGCACAGUCAUUCUUUGGCUGCUGCGGCUUCGAGAAAUACAGCAUAAAUAUGACUGCCGAGAUGGAUCACCCAACCUGCACCGAUAUUAAAAACAAAGAUGGCAAGUACUGCUGCGGAAACCCAGAUACAGCUGACGAUGCAACAUGCUGCCGCAGCGAGAACAGCACAAGCUGCAUGUGCGACCCCUGUGCAGAGCCAAUCCAGGAGUCGAUGGUCAAGGGCCAGAACCUGGUUGGCGGCAUUGGACUCUUCUUCUCCUUCACAGAGUUUCUUGGUGUGUGGCUCACGGUGCGAUACAGGAACCAGCGGGACCCUCGAGCUAACCCUUCGGCCUUCCUGUAGAGCGAUGGGGUCUGUUUUAGCCCCCACUCUCAUUCUCACUAACAUAUCAGAUCAUUGGCUUCCUCAUCGCCAAGCAGUAUCGGCACCAAGUGGACCCCAGAGCCAACAUCCAGUCUCUUCUGCGAUAAUUUCGUUAAAGUGUCUCGGAUAGUUUGGUUCUGGUAUUGAAAAAUGUGCGCAUUUAUGAAUAUAUAUAUACAUUUUAUAUAUAUCAUUAUGGUACAUUUCUUGGCACCCAUCCCCCGUCCCCCUAUUUUCCUCCAGUCAUACUCUCACCAUAAUUAUCACUCAAUUGACAUGGUUUUCAUGAUGUGACGUGUGGAAUUACGUGGCUCUCUGGAAUCCGGGAAGAGCAAUACUCGCAUCCCUCUGCCCUCCCUCCCCUCCCCACUUCCUAUGGUCCUCCUCCUCCUCCUAAAACGCUGUUUGAAAAGAGGAAAGUCCCGCUAGAAACUUUUUAAUUUUAAUAGUCGUUCUUUUAUUUGAUUGUGGUACGACACUUUUUGUCAGUUUUAUUUUAUUUAUUUAUUUUUUUUUAUUUUUUUAUUUUUUUCAUUUUUUUUUUUUUUUUUUUUUUUUUCUUUUUCUUUUGUCUUUUGUCUUAUCUAUGCACACCACGACCUCUAGUCCCUCAUGUAUAGAGCCCUCCGUGCAAGUUUGGGUGUGUUGCACUCAAACUUGGUCUUAAAUGUGUCAAUCAUUUUCUGGGAAUAGCAACUGCUAAAUUGGUAAUAGUUGUUGAUUUUUGUUAUUUUUUGUUUGCAUGUGGAAUGAUAGUGCUGUUGUUGUUUUUUUCCUUUUUCUUUUUCUUUUUUUUGUGUUUUUUGUUCUGGAUACAUUAUUUAUGAAUUUGAAUGUGGGUGAUGGUGUAUUAAUGUUAUUGAAUAUUUAGUAUAUUAUGGAAGACCUCCUUUAUUUUCAAUUGUCUUUUCAUUAUAUAUGGAAUCUUAAAUUUCCAUUUGCCAUAUCUUUUAUGUUCUUUAUUUGUGCAAUACUUUUAAAGAAACUGCAAUAUUCAUGUCUUUUCUUCAUUUGUUUUUAUUGCUGUUUCAAAAUUAAUUUCUCUCUGUCUUCCUUGUUUACUUAGUGAGAACUUGGAUGCUUACAUUUUCAUGAUUUGUAAUUAGCUAUCAUUGGCAUUUAAAUUAUUUAGACUGUACUUAACCUUCCAUUAAGUGCAAGUUCUUCUGUCAUGCUUUUUUUGAGGCCAAAAGCAAAGUAGUCUUGCUGAGUGAAGCUGCCAGAUUAUUACUGCGUUCAGACGUGGGACUUUUUCAAAUCUCACGACAUAAUGCUAUUUGGAAUAAUCUUAGCCUGAGUAUUGAGAAUAGAACAGAGAAAUUGUUUUGUAUAAAACAGUUCAAAUAAUUGUGUUCAAGCUAAAGCAAAAGAAAAGAAAGUCUAUUUUUUCUGUGAGAAUAUUAAUUCAUAAAAAAUAAGGUUGAAUAACAAUGAAUGGAUCAAAUGUAUGUGCCUGACUUGUAAAGAAACUCCAUAAUGUGGUGAACAAUCCAAUAGAUAACGUUACAUAUGAUGUAUAUUGAAUAGAUGUUACAUUGGCGUCUUCUUGGAUUCUUAGAAAUUAAAAAAUAUUAGGGAAAUUGAAAUCCUUAACAUCAAUACAGAUGUCUAUUCACUCUGCAUUUUAUGGACAGAACCGUUUUUUCCCCCCCCUUUACGCAGAAUUUGUGUUAGAUGACUGUGUUUAGAAUGUAAUAAUUGUACAUCCCCUUAUAGCCAUUAAGAAUAUUUCCCCAAGUCCUUGGGUAGUGUUCUUGAAGCACUGGUUCAACCUUGCCAGGAUGUGUCACUAGUGGCCAUACUUUUACAGCAGUACCGUAUAUUGUAUUCCAGUUACAGUGUUUCCGUAUAACACAUGAGCUUGUGGUUAGUUAGCAUGGCUCACUAUGUGUGAUGGAUCAUUAUUGUUGUUGUUAUGUAGUCCUUUCCUGUAUUCAGCCAAUAGACCACUUUUACAAGGCUAAACACAAAAAGAAAAGAGAAAGGAGACCUAAGACAUUCACAUUUCCAAAUGAAUUGAAAGUUUCUGAAAAGAAUUAAUUUCUUUGCAAUUUACAUGUGAUCAUAGUUAAUUGUUGGAACAUGACAAACAUUCCAUACUUUGGGUACUGUGUGUAUGAUAAAUUUAUUAUAACUGACAAUCAGCAGGUAAUGACAUCUCAAGUUACACUAAUGUCCUUUGAGGUGAUCUGUUGGUGUUCAAGAUAAUCAGUUGUAUCAUGUAGUGUAUAUUUGAAAUAUGUAUAUGAGGCUUCCCGAUGUAGUUAAGUGGAUUUACAGUUAUGACAUUAAUUGUUAAAUGUUUAUUAGCUUUUCCGUUCAUGGUGCUUCUCUUUCCGAAAUUUCGUUGUAAGGGUCUGUUGGGCUGUCAUCGAAACUCAUCGUCAAGGUCUCAUAUUAGUCUGCGAUGUCCAUUACUGAAUCUUUUGGGCAGAUCAUUCUGGUUGUCAUUUCUCGUAACGAAUCAUGCCCAUACAGAACAGUAUUAUACCAAUUGCUAUCACAUCCAAGAGAAUGUUAGUGUUCAAAGAAAGACUUUUGAAAGACUUUGAAUUAAUUUUUUUGAUGUCCUUGAUUAAUGGGAUAUUUGUGUAUAUGCCUCUAGUCAUUAUUCUUCACUUGUUUGGAGCCACAUGAACAAUUUAAUAAAGCCCAUAUUUGACCAA
RNA transcript from Penaeus indicus, 3486 nucleotides. It is a transcript of the gene named tetraspanin-13-like, with no coding region annotated. The transcript has 7 exons. The record is from RefSeq and is a predicted model, not a curated record. Lineage: Eukaryota; Metazoa; Arthropoda; Malacostraca; Decapoda; Penaeidae.